AAGUCGUAACAAGGUUUCCGUAGGUGAACCUGCGGAAGGAUCAUUACAGAAUACGGGCUCCGGCCCCUUUCUAACCCUUGAAUAUUCUCCUGUUGCUUCGGCGCUGCGGCGCCGGCGCCAUUAAACUCAGAAACUUUGUGUCUGACGAUAUUUAAUAAAUCAAAACUUUCAACAACGGAUCUCUUGGUUCCC
RNAcentral lists this unclassified non-coding RNA (192 nucleotides) under fungal sp. RNAcentral's name for it is "partial internal transcribed spacer region". The stretch from base 1 to 46 matches the Rfam family "Eukaryotic small subunit ribosomal RNA", at positions 1786 to 1831 of the family's 1831-position model. The record is from RNAcentral. Lineage: Eukaryota; Fungi.